UGCAUGUAAACACUCACUAGAAAUGCUACAGCUACUUCAGUCCUGCUCUAAGAAAAUCUUCCAGAAAGACUUUGCUACCAAUGCAAAAAUCCAGGCAGAAGCUGUGUAACUGUGAGAGCAAAGGAGCUGCAGUAACUCACCACUCCUCCCUGGCCAAGGACUUCUCCCCAGCGCAUCCCCAGAUGCAUUUCAGCCAGCAGUGCCAAACCCUUUGCCAUCACCUUUGGCAGCUCCAAUCCUAGAGGUGCCACAGGGGUGGCUUCUGUGCAGAAAUCCCCAGCUGCCAAAAGGCUUCUAGGAGCCUUGGGGAAAAGGAAAGCCCACAUUUCUCUCUGGUAGAUUCCUAUAUAUGUCUCCUCUAGAAUAAAUGACCGUUCAACCACUUCCUUUUUGCAUCCCUGUGUGAAGCUGGAACUCCUUCCUCUUCAGGAAUACCAUGCCAUUUGGCAAGCCAGUGAAUCUCUGCUUUUGAUUGUUUGGGUGCAAGUCUAUCCCACUGGGCCAUCUGCAGCCUGCCCAGGCAUUUCCUUGGGCAGCAGGGUGAGAAAGUGAACAACCACCUUUCUACACCUAUUCUUUGAAGGAGACAAGUGUGUAAGCAGAGUCAGAACACAGGUGUACUGAGCUUCUUUUAUCAUGAUUCUGCGCAUUCACAUGAGCUACCUUUAAUUUUAGAAGUUGAUAUUUGCACUGCUCCCUGUGAAGCUGAAACAAUCCUGAGUUGCUGCCAUAACUGGCAGGAAAUUUUUCCAAUAGAAAAUAACAUCAAGCACUUAUUUCAUUCCUCUGCCUUCCCAGACCCAUUAGAUCCCAAGUUUAGCAGAAACAUUGCACACAACUCUGUGAUGAGCUGUAGCAGAAAUAUCAGUCUUGGUAUGGAUAGAGCAAAAGUGGAAAUGUGUGGAUGUGGGAGAACAGGAAGAAGUGGAAGAAAAAGCCAUGAAAGAAAAGCAAGCGUUAAUGGCAUCUAAAUUAGUAGAUCAUAAAGUCUCUGGCACAACUAUCUGCAGUUUCUAUUUACAGAAACACCCAGACUGAGAAAAACAAAGGACAACCUAAAUACAACAGCCUACACCCAGAAAGAGACUAAAGAGCAGUGAGUUAAUCAGCAGUUUUACCUAAUGACUCACACAGGUGGGACAAAAGGAGAGACAAACACAUAUCACGGUAACUUUUGAAAUGUGUAAAAGACACGUUCACAAGCCAGCCACAUGGCUGCCAUUAAUAAGAACAACCCAGAAGACACUAUGAGAAUAGCGAGCUUCCCCAACUCUUUGUGACCACAAAUAUUUUUGGACAGACCACGUGCAGACACACCUUGAAGCUUCCCGAUAGGAAAGAAUGAGUAAAACUAGGAGGAGGAUGCCUGUGCUGUGCCUGAGUGAUACCUGGCUCGUACAAAAUAAAACUACUUUUCCUUCUUAA
This is a long non-coding RNA of Corvus hawaiiensis (hawaiian crow), 1425 nucleotides long. RefSeq lists it as uncharacterized. Lineage: Eukaryota; Metazoa; Chordata; Aves; Passeriformes; Corvidae. The transcript has 3 exons. The record is from RefSeq and is a predicted model, not a curated record.